AUGACUGCAUUAGAGAAAUCAGUCCAUUUUUUUGCUGAGGCGCCUAGGGAGAACAUUGUACCGAAAUUAGGGCACAGUUUCGAUACGCUCGGCGAGGCCUAUGAUUUCUACAAUCUGUACUCCUGGGAGAAAGGCUUCGGGAUUAGAUAUGGAAAGAGCAGGCUAAAUGUUAACCGGACAAAAUGCAUGCAGGAGAUCGUGUGUGGUUGCGCGGGCAAACCAAUAGUGGAGAAUACUCGGUCAUGCCGCUGCGAAUGUCCUGCCCUUAUCAGAUUGCCGCGCUCGAAAGACAAUGGGUGGUACAUAGCGGAGCACAGAGAUCAUCACAAUCAUGCCUUGUCCAACACCUAUGGGCAGACGUUGCACUAG
This 369-nucleotide ribosomal RNA is filed under the name Triticum aestivum (bread wheat). RNAcentral's name for it is "partial small subunit ribosomal RNA". The record is from RNAcentral. Lineage: Eukaryota; Viridiplantae; Streptophyta; Magnoliopsida; Poales; Poaceae.